Molecule: ribosomal RNA, 497 nt
Filed under: uncultured bacterium
Lineage: Bacteria
Description: partial 16S ribosomal RNA
Rfam family: Bacterial small subunit ribosomal RNA
Source: RNAcentral
GAUGAACGCUGGCGGCGUGCCUAAUACAUGCAAGUCGAGCGGAAAGACGAGGAGCUUGCUCCUCUGACGAUAGCGGCGGACGGGUGAGUAACACGUGGAUAACCUCCCUAUAAGACUGGGAUAACUUCGGGAAACCGGUGCUAAUACCGGAUAAUAUCUUGCACCGCAUGGUUCAAUAGUGAAAGACGGUUUUGCUGUCACUUAUAGAUGGAUCUGCGCCGCAUUAGCUAGUUGGUAAGGUAACAGGUUACCACGGCAACGAUGCGUAGCCGACCGGAGGGGGGGAUAGGCGACACGGGAGCGGAGACACGGUCCAGGCUCCUACGGGAGGCAGCAGUAGGGAAUCUUCCGCAGUGGUCGAGAGCCUGACGGAGCAACGCCGCGUGAGAGAUGAAGGUCCUCGGAUCGUAAAACUCUGUUAUUAGUUAUGAACAAAUGUGUAAUUAACUAUGCACGUCGUGACGGUACCUAAUCAGAAAGCCACGGCUAACUACGUG